UGCCAGCAGCCGCGGUAAUACGGAGGGGGCGAGCGUUAUUCGGAAUUACUGGGCGUAAAGGGUGCGUAGGCGGCCCAUCAAGUUAGACGUGAAAGCCCAGGGCUCAACCUGGGAAUUGCGUUUAAUACUGGUGAGCUAGAGUACGAGAGAGGAAAGUGGAAUUCCUAGUGUAGAGGUGAAAUUCGUAGAUAUUAGGAAGAACACCAGUGGCGAAGGCGACUUUCUGGCUCGUAACUGACGCUGAGGCACGAAAGCGUGGGUAGCAAACAGGAUUAGAUA
RNAcentral lists this ribosomal RNA (279 nucleotides) under uncultured bacterium. Its description in RNAcentral is "partial 16S ribosomal RNA". It matches the Rfam family "Bacterial small subunit ribosomal RNA", at positions 506 to 784 of the family's 1533-position model. The record is from RNAcentral.